RNAcentral lists this ribosomal RNA (504 nucleotides) under uncultured bacterium. RNAcentral's name for it is "bacterial SSU rRNA". It matches the Rfam family "Bacterial small subunit ribosomal RNA", at positions 107 to 607 of the family's 1533-position model. The record is from RNAcentral.
UGAGGAAAACGUCGGAAUCUGCCUAUUUGCGGGGGAUAACGUAGGGAAACUUACGCUAAUACCGCAUACGACCUACGGGUGAAAGUGGGGGACCGCAAGGCCUCACGCAGAUAGAUGAGCCGACGUCGGAUUAGCUAGUUGGCGGGGUAAAGGCCCACCAAGGCGACGAUCCGUAGCUGGUCUGAGAGGAUGAUCAGCCACACUGGAACUGAGACACGGUCCAGACUCCUACGGGAGGCAGCAGUGGGGAAUAUUGGACAAUGGGCGCAAGCCUGAUCCAGCCAUGCCGCGUGUGUGAAGAAGGCCUUCGGGUUGUAAAGCACUUUUGUCCGGAAAGAAAAGCUUAGGGUUAAUAACCUUGAGUCACGACGGUACCGGAAGAAUAAGCACCGGCUAACUUCGUGCCAGCAGCCGCGGUAAUACGAAGGGUGCAAGCGUUACUCGGAAUUACCGGGGGUAAAACGUGCGUAGGUGGUUUGUUAAGUCUGAUGUGAAAGCCCUGGG